AGAGUUUGAUUCUGGCUCAGGAUGAACGCUAGCUACAGGCUUAACACAUGCAAGUCGAGGGGCAGCAUUGGAGUAGCAAUACUUCAGAUGGCGACCGGCGCACGGGUGAGUAACACGUAUCCAACCUGCCGCUUACUCGGGGAUAGCCUUUCGAAAGAAAGAUUAAUACCCGAUGGUAUAAAGAGUUCGCAUGUUCUCUUUAUUAAAGAAUUUCGGUAAGCGAUGGGGAUGCGUUCCAUUAGAUUGUUGGCGGGGUAACGGCCCACCAAGUCUACGAUGGAUAGGGGUUCUGAGAGGAAGGUCCCCCACAUUGGAACUGAGACACGGUCCAAACUCCUACGGGAGGCAGCAGUGAGGAAUAUUGGUCAAUGGACGAGAGUCUGAACCAGCCAAAAGUAGCGUGAAGGAUGACUGCCCUAUGGGUUGUAAACUUCUUUUAUAAGGGAAUAAAGUGAGGGACGUGUCCCUUUUUGUAUGUACCUUAUGAAUAAGGAUCGGCUAACUCCGUGCCAGCCGCCGC
This 520-nucleotide ribosomal RNA is filed under the name uncultured bacterium. RNAcentral's name for it is "bacterial SSU rRNA". It matches the Rfam family "Bacterial small subunit ribosomal RNA", at positions 8 to 518 of the family's 1533-position model. The record is from RNAcentral.